CAAAAUGGCAAUAAGUACAUAUCUAUCAAUAAUUACUUUAAAUAUAAAUUGACUAAAUUCUCCAGUCAAAGAUAUAGGGUGGCUGGAAGAAAAAAGAAGGAAGA
Molecule: non-coding RNA, 104 nt
Organism: Ceratotherium simum simum (southern white rhinoceros)
Lineage: Eukaryota; Metazoa; Chordata; Mammalia; Perissodactyla; Rhinocerotidae
Source: RefSeq, a predicted model, not a curated record